GGAACUAGCAUAUCAAUAAGCGGAGGAAAAGAAACCAACAGGGAUUGCCCUAGUAACGGCGAGUGAAGCGGCAACAGCUCAAAUUUGAAAUCUGGCCUUCGGGUCCGAGUUGUAAUUUGUAGAGGAUGCUUUUGGUGCAGUGCCUUCCGAGUUCCUUGGAACAGGACGCCUUAGAGGGUGAGAGCCCCGUACGGUUGGACACUAAGCCUCUGUAAAGCUCCUUCGACGAGUCGAGUAGUUUGGGAAUGCUGCUCUAAAUGGGAGGUAAAUUUCUUCUAAAGCUAAAUACCGGCCAGAGACCGAUAGCGCACAAGUAGAGUGAUCGAAAGAUGAAAAGUACUUUGAAAAGAGGGUUAAAUAGCACGUGAAAUUGUUGAAAGGGAAGCGUUUAUGACCAGACCUUUGCCGGGCGGAUCAUCCGGUGUUCUUCACCGGUGCACUUCGCCCGGCUUAGGCCAGCAUCGAUUUCUGGAGGGGGACAAAGACCAUGGGAACGUAGCUCCUCUCGGGGAGUGUUAUAGCCCUAGGUGUAAUACCCUUCCGGGGAUCGAGGUUCGCGCUUCUGCAAGGAUGCUGGCGUAAUGGUCAUCAACGACCCGUCUUGAAACACGGACCAAGGAGUCGAACAUUUAUGCGAGUGUUUGGGUGUUAAACCCUCACGCGUAAUGAAAGUGAACGGAGGUGAGAGCCCUCUUUUGGGUGCAUCAUCGACCGAUCCUGAUGUAUUCGGAAGGAUUUGAGUAAGAGCAUAACUGUUCGGACCCGAAAGAUGGUGAACUAUGCGUGGAUAGGGUGAAGCCAGAGGAAACUCUGGUGGAGGCUCGCAGCGGUUCUGACGUGCAAAUCGAUCGUCAAAUCUGCGCAUGGGGGCGAAAGACUUAUCGAACCAUCU
This 892-nucleotide ribosomal RNA is filed under the name Eutypa sp. RNAcentral's name for it is "partial large subunit ribosomal RNA". It matches the Rfam family "Eukaryotic large subunit ribosomal RNA", at positions 30 to 945 of the family's 3401-position model. Lineage: Eukaryota; Fungi; Ascomycota; Sordariomycetes; Xylariales; Diatrypaceae. The record is from RNAcentral.